GUGAUGGGUCGCCCCACCGCGGCAAGGGAGGCAACUCCGGCGACGAGGAAAGUCCGGGCAACGCAGAGCACCCUGCUUCCUAACGGGAAGGACUGGCAAGCGUAAAGUGAACCAGGACAGCCAGUGCCACAGAAAAUUACCGCCUACGUCGCCUUUGGGCGGCCGGUAAGGGUGAAAAGGUGCGGUAAGAGCGCACCAGCGGCUGGGCAACCACGCCGGCUGGGUAAACCUCAGGGGUUGAAAGACCAAAUAAGCUGGUAGGCAAGGCCGCAAGGCCCUGCACCGGGCGGCUCGUCCGGCGCCAGCGGGUAGGUUGAUGGAGCCUUUCCGCGAGGACUGGCCUAGAUAAAUGGUGGGGCCGUGGCAACACGGACAAAACCCGGCUUACAGACUCAUCACCGGC
RNAcentral lists this RNase P RNA (403 nucleotides) under Hymenobacter metallicola. RNAcentral's name for it is "Hymenobacter sp. 9PBR-1 RNase P RNA component class A". It matches the Rfam family "Bacterial RNase P class A". From Rfam's summary of the family: Ribonuclease P (RNase P) is a ubiquitous endoribonuclease, found in archaea, bacteria and eukarya as well as chloroplasts and mitochondria. Its best characterised activity is the generation of mature 5'-ends of tRNAs by cleaving the 5'-leader elements of precursor-tRNAs. The record is from RNAcentral. Lineage: Bacteria; Pseudomonadati; Bacteroidota; Cytophagia; Cytophagales; Hymenobacteraceae.